CGGCGGACGGGUGAGUAAUGCCUAGGAAUCUGCCUGGUAGUGGGGGACAACGUUUCGAAAGGAACGCUAAUACCGCAUACGUCCUACGGGAGAAAGCAGGGGACCUUCGGGCCUUGCGCUAUCAGAUGAGCCUAGGUCGGAUUAGCUAGUUGGUGAGGUAAUGGCUCACCAAGGCGUUACGAUCCGUAACUGGUCUGAGAGGAUGAUCAGUCACACUGGAACUGAGACACGGUCCAGACUCCUACGGGAGGCAGCAGAC
Molecule: ribosomal RNA, 259 nt
Filed under: uncultured Pseudomonas sp.
Lineage: Bacteria; Pseudomonadati; Pseudomonadota; Gammaproteobacteria; Pseudomonadales; Pseudomonadaceae
Description: partial 16S ribosomal RNA
Rfam family: Bacterial small subunit ribosomal RNA
Source: RNAcentral